RNAcentral lists this long non-coding RNA (314 nucleotides) under Spirodela polyrhiza (greater duckweed). RNAcentral describes it as "long non-coding RNA (SPOL_LNC000057)". The record is from RNAcentral. Lineage: Eukaryota; Viridiplantae; Streptophyta; Magnoliopsida; Alismatales; Araceae.
AGAGGGACUCGGAAGCCCAAGAACUGAACAAGAAGAUACAUGAACUCGAAGGCAAGAUAGAGUCUUACGAGGAAGAGCUCCGUGUAGCUGCCGCCUCUGCAGAGAUUCACAGGGGCGAUCUCGAUGGAGCUCUGGCAAAACUGAGGGCGCUGGAGGGGAUCAUCGAGGAAGAAAAAGGCAGCUCAAGCCGAUUGGAGUCCGAAAAUACGUAUCUAGCUGAGACAAAUCUCAAGCUCACCGAAGAACUCGCAGCAUAUGAGGUGAAAACGAGUGAUCUGCAAAGAACACUGGCGGCUCUCCAGGAAGGCACCGAG